AGCUUUUUAUUUUUUUUGAUUGCAGCUGAUCAUUGAGGAAAGGUUUUCUACAGUCAUUCGCUGAUUUAUUUCUUGAGAUGAUAUGAUCACUUUUCAUCUGAAUGUCAAGAUGUCAAAAUACAUGAAUGAAUGCAUCUUCCAGUAACUCUUAUUAGAGCUUCAUUUCCACUCACUUUCCAGACAAGAUAUGACCUGUUAUCUCAAUGGACAGAUAACUGUUUUUCCAGAACUGUUAUUUCCUGCUGUAUACAAGUUUUUGGAGACUUUGAAAUUCUGUUCUUCCUCAGAUACUGUUUCCACUGA
RNAcentral lists this long non-coding RNA (303 nucleotides) under Dromaius novaehollandiae (emu). RNAcentral's name for it is "lncRNA (ENSDNVG00000010167.1)". Lineage: Eukaryota; Metazoa; Chordata; Aves; Casuariiformes; Dromaiidae. The record is from RNAcentral.